UAAGAGCCGAUGAUAAAGAGAGUAGCUUAAAUGAAUUUACAGCGAGUCAGGGUUUGGUGUGAGCCUGAUAUUGGAGUUUAAAGUGAAGAGAACUUUGGAGGUUAUUAGAGGAAUUUUAGUAUUCUAAUAGGUUUCCCGCCUUAAGGGUUUGAGAGGACAAGUUUUAAUUGUCAAUAAGAGUGGUAACGCGGUAUAUUCGUCUCUUAG
RNAcentral lists this non-coding RNA (207 nucleotides) under Peptostreptococcus stomatis. RNAcentral describes it as "T-box sequence". It matches the Rfam family "T-box leader". Rfam says of the family: Uncharged tRNA acts as the effector for transcription antitermination of genes in the T-box leader family. T-boxes are found upstream of many aminoacyl-tRNA synthetase genes and some amino acid biosynthetic genes usually in Gram-positive bacteria. Lineage: Bacteria; Bacillati; Bacillota; Clostridia; Peptostreptococcales; Peptostreptococcaceae. The record is from RNAcentral.